RNAcentral lists this transfer RNA (75 nucleotides) under Bacillus capparidis. Its description in RNAcentral is "tRNA-Arg". Lineage: Bacteria; Bacillati; Bacillota; Bacilli; Caryophanales; Bacillaceae. The record is from RNAcentral.
CAGUAUUUAUCCAACCACUGCAAAAAGAUCAACGGCCUUCUAAGCCGUCGGUCGGGAGUUCGAAUCUCUCCUGGG